Molecule: ribosomal RNA, 433 nt
Filed under: uncultured bacterium
Lineage: Bacteria
Description: partial 16S ribosomal RNA
Rfam family: Bacterial small subunit ribosomal RNA
Source: RNAcentral
AGCGAACGCUGGCGGCAGGCCUAACACAUGCAAGUCGAACGAACUCUUCGGAGUUAGUGGCGGACGGGUGAGGAACACGUCGGAACGUGCCUUUAGGUUCGGAAUAACUCAGGGAAACUUGUGCUAAUACCGAAUGUGCCCUUCGGGGGAAAGAUUUAUCGCCUUUAGAGCGGCCCGCGUCUGAUUAGCUAGUUGGGGAGGUAAAGGCGCACCAAGGCGACGAUCAGUAGCUGGUCUGAGAGGAUGAUCAGCCACAUUGGGACGGGGACACGGCCCAAACUCCUACGGGAGGCAGCAGUGGGGAAUCCUGCGCAAUGGGCGAAAGCCUGACGCAGCCAUGCCGGGUGAAUGAUGAAGGUCUUAGGAUUGUAAAAUUCUUUCACCGGGGACGAUAAUGACGGUACCCGGAGAAGAAGCCCCGGCUAACUUCGUG